Molecule: ribosomal RNA, 433 nt
Filed under: uncultured bacterium
Lineage: Bacteria
Description: partial 16S ribosomal RNA
Rfam family: Bacterial small subunit ribosomal RNA
Source: RNAcentral
GACGAACGCUGGCGGCAUGCCUAACACAUGCAAGUCGAACGAGACCUUCGGGUCUAGUUGCGCACGGGUGCGUAACGCGUGGUAACCUGCCCUUAGGUUCGGAAUAACUCCCCGAAAGGGGUGCUAAUACCGGAUAAUGUCUUCGGACCAAAGAUUUUUCGCCUUUGGAUGGGCCCGCGUUGGAUUAGCUAGUUGGUAGGGUAAAAGCCUACCAAGGCGAAGAUCCAUAGCUGGUCGGAGAGGAUGAUCAUCCACACUGGGACUGAGACACGGCCCAGACUCCUACGGGAGGCAGCAGUGGGGAAUAUUGGACAAUGGGCGAAAGCCUGAUCAAGCAAUGCCGCGGGAGUGAAGAAGGCCUUAGGGUUGUAAAGCUCUUUUACCCGGGAUGAUAAUGACAGUACCGGGAGAAUAAGCUCCGGCUAACUCCGUG